RNAcentral lists this ribosomal RNA (254 nucleotides) under uncultured bacterium. Its description in RNAcentral is "partial 16S ribosomal RNA". It matches the Rfam family "Bacterial small subunit ribosomal RNA", at positions 524 to 776 of the family's 1533-position model. The record is from RNAcentral.
UACGUAGGGGGCAAGCGUUGUCCGGAUGUAUUGGGCGUAAAGAGCGUGUAGGCGGCCAACACAGGUCCGUUGUGAAAACUGGAGGCUCAACCUCCAGACGUCGACGGAAACCGUGUGGCUAGAGUCCGGAAGAGGAGAGUGGAAUUCCUGGUGUAGCGGUGAAAUGCGCAGAUAUCAGGAAGAACACCAAUGGCGAAGGCAGCUCUCUGGGACGGUACUGACGCUGAGACGCGAAAGCGUGGGGAGCGAACAGG